ACCUAGAGCAGUAAAGGUAGACGGAAUCACUUCCUGGAUCCAUGCCUCUCAUCUCAAGCCUGUGCCCUGUCCAGACUCUGGCUGGAAAUUGGAAAAGACUGGUAACCCUCUCAAAUUGCGUAUUUGCCAUGUGGAUAAGGGUAUGGACUCUCCCCUUGACCACCAGUAGUCCUAACCCUCAUCAACCCAUUCAGCAGCUAUGGCUAAUCACAAAUCCUACUAGACAAGAAGUAUGACCUAUCUCACAUACAGCCCCCUUAGGGACCUGAUGGCCAUCUCUCCACUCAGACAUUUGCCAGCUGGCUAUAGGUCUUUCCUAUUGGGAUAUCCCUGAUGAAGAGGAUCCCACUAAAAUUCCAUUAAAUCCCUUCCAUACCAUAGAUAAAAGAAACAAACAUUAUGGAUGUAGGGACACGCGAGCCAGAUGCAGGUUGGCUAACCUAGAUUACUAUGUUUGCCUGGCGGACUAUCAAAGCCACAAACAGUCACAGCUGUGUGGGGGAAAAACUGACUUCUUCUGUAAGUCAUAAGGAUGUGAACAUACAGGGGCCACCUGAUGGAACCCAAACCUCCGCUGGUUCUCAGACCAUUGCCCCCUUGCUGAAGUAACAGGUACUGAGGUACCCCUCCACCCAUUCAUUCCUCUCUUCUCCUGUCAGUGCCCACACUGGGUCCCACCAGGUCCUCUUACCAGGUAACCCAAAGCUCAAACCAGCUGAGAGCCCUCAGACCCCUAUCCAAGAUGUAAUGAAAAUGGCCUUUAAAAUUGCUUUGUCAUCACUGAAAACAGGUUACUAAGAAUUUAAAGUCCCUCACAGGCUUUUUGGGAUACUCACUCCAGUCUUCCCCUCUGCUCUACCUGUUCUACUACUCAAGUUUUUGUUGCUAGGAAAAUCCCAAACCCCUUUCCCAUUAUUCUUUUACAUCUCCUUCCUGAUGCUCAGAUCC
This 948-nucleotide long non-coding RNA is filed under the name Marmota monax (woodchuck). The record is from RNAcentral. Lineage: Eukaryota; Metazoa; Chordata; Mammalia; Rodentia; Sciuridae.